Non-coding RNA from Dentipellis sp. KUC8613, 94 nucleotides. NCBI's taxonomy places the organism in Eukaryota, Fungi, Basidiomycota, Agaricomycetes, Russulales, Hericiaceae. The record is from the annotation of a GenBank genome assembly.
UCCCUGGUAGUAUAUCGGCUAGUACACCCGCCUGUCACUUCUGACCUCGAGUCAUGGUGCGCGGGAGAGCGGGGUUCGACUCCCCGCCAAGGAG